AGUGAGAGGAUGGCCACUGGGGCUUAGCAGCAGGUUCAUUCACCCUCGUCCUCUGUCCUGUCAGCUGGGCUUGCCCACCGGUCCUCUCCUCUUGGGCUACCUUCACGGUGCUCCCCCGGCUCCCCUUGCUUCUCUCCAGUCCACCUGCCACCACACCGUUCCCUUCCACGGUCCCCUGCCUCCCAUGGCUCCCUCACCUCUCCUCCUCCGCCUCGCCAGCCCCUCUGUCCUCCGUGUCCGCUUUCCCUGGCAUCCGCCACACCUCCAUCUCCUCUUCCCCAGCCCCUUUGUUUCCCCUAAAUAAACCACCUUUCUACUGAG
Micropterus dolomieu (smallmouth bass) is the source of this 321-nucleotide long non-coding RNA. RefSeq lists it as uncharacterized. The record is from RefSeq and is a predicted model, not a curated record. Lineage: Eukaryota; Metazoa; Chordata; Actinopteri; Centrarchiformes; Centrarchidae. The transcript has 2 exons.